This 203-nucleotide long non-coding RNA is filed under the name Homo sapiens (human). RNAcentral describes it as "HSALNT0219426". Lineage: Eukaryota; Metazoa; Chordata; Mammalia; Primates; Hominidae. The record is from RNAcentral.
AACAGGUACAGCCAGAGCUACAUCUUCCUGGGUUGCACAGAUCCCAGGAUACCUGUUUUACUAUCAGCCAAGCCCAUGAAGGGUAUGUCAGCAUCAGCUUGGUGUGGAUAGUGCCACUUCACCUUUCUCCUACUUGGCUCCAAGGAGAUGCUUCCAGGGAAAGACCAUGUUUGUAGAUUUAUUGGCUGUGGGAGGAAUGAUCG